Mustela putorius furo (domestic ferret) is the source of this 2875-nucleotide long non-coding RNA. Lineage: Eukaryota; Metazoa; Chordata; Mammalia; Carnivora; Mustelidae. The record is from Ensembl.
NNAGGGCGGACCCGCGCCGGGGCCACUAACGGCCUGUCACUGUCAGGCCAGCGGCACCGCGGGCCGCGCCUGGCCAGGCCGGUCGGCACGAGACAGGGUGGGCAGGGCGCGUCCCCUACCUUGCUCUGGGGAGGGGGGACGGGAGCAGCGCAGAACUGAGGGGUCUCCUCCCAAGCACCGGGGACGGGGCUCGAAACCGCGCCCCUCCUUCCUCCUCGCCUGUCGCCACGCCCCCCUCACCCUCACGGACCCGAGGCACGAUCGGCGCAGGAGGGUUUACCCCCUGAAUGAGUGCCUCGGUGUUGCCGUCGCUGUCGUUGUCUUCGUCGCCGCUGCAACCGCCACGAACGCCGCGGAGGCCGGGCUUGAAAACAUCUCCGGUCUCCGUCCGUCUCUCACCACAGCCUCCUCGCUCCCAGGACAGCGCCGCCCAGCGAUUGGCUGCGACGCAAGCACGUGACUCAGCGGGCACGGGACGGGCGGCGUGACCGCCCCGCCCCCAGCGCCCGCCCGCCCCUUCCGCCGGCCCCUCCCCGCUACCGAGCCGCUCUUUCAGUUCUGUGGAGAAGCUUCCCGAGCCGCGGGGCGGAGGAGUCGGAAGGUACCAAGUGAGAGGCGGCGGGGGUGCAGGCCGGAACUCCUCUUUCGUUGCUUGCUCUCUCCCCUCCACCCAGGUGUCGCCGUCUCCCUCAGCCGUCACCGGCCCGAAAACAGAAGGGGAAUUGAGAUGCUCAAGAAAGCAGCUCUGGCUCGGCUGACGCUGCGGGGCCAGAGGGCUCUGCAGUCUCUAUUUGUGGCGACCAUGGCCGUGGAUGUGACUGGAAACUUCUGGAAAUGGCGGCGACGGCGGCGAAGAGGCUGAACACAGGGAAACGCUCGCUCUCCAAGCUUUCAACACGCAAGCCGGAGCCAACAAUUUCAGAGUCCUCUCCAGUGCGCUGCAACCUGACAGCAACAAGGUCGCCAGGCUUGAUCCUCAAGGUGCCUCCUCGGUGGGCGGGGGGCGGCAGGGGGCGGCGGAGGGGGGGGUGGUCUUAGAAACCUAUCUGGCCCACGCAGGCCAGGCCUCUGUUCUGCGCUGCGGCGAAACGGCAACAAACAGACCACCGGGCGGCCCCUCCUUCUUCCUCUCCUUGACCACAUUAGGCGUUAACUUCCCAAACCUGUGGGGGAGGCCACGCACCCGCCGCAGCUACGUCUGCGACCCUCCCUCGGAGCUCCUGGCUCGCCGUGAAGCUGUGGCGGCCUCCCUGGGAAAGGGCGAAGGCCGCAGUGUCCUUGCCACCGCCUGCAAGCCGUCCAGGGCCCAGCGCUCUCGUUGCCCACCACAAAAAGAGACACCGAGAAAGAUGAAAGGGCGGCGGCAGUGCCGGGGCUCAUUCCGAACCUCCUUACCCACUGGGCCGUGAGACCAGCCGCCUUGGCCCGGAGCGCCGCGGAGAAGAACAUGGCGGACCAAACCGUUGGCCUUUCCCUGCGGCACCAGGCGAGAAUCCUGAGCGAGCCUUGGGACGCACGGCGUGCGCGCUCCCGACCCCAGGCCUAGGGAGUCUGGGGCGGCGGGGACGCGCGGAGGCUCGCGAGGGCUGCUGGGGCCCAAUGGGCGGGGACUUCCUCGGCCGGGGCAGGGCGAAGGCCCGCGAGGUCCGUAAAAGGCUGGGUUGCACAGACUGUGGCUGGGGUCUCAACCUUGAAAGGAAGAGACAGUGAGCUGUUCUUUGGGCUUUUAGGGAAUGUAACGCCGAUCUGGAUUUAUGAGGUGAGCUUCCCCCCCUGGAGAGCCUUUUGGGGAUUUAACCACCUACUUUUUUUUUUUUUUUUUAAUCGUGGUUACUUAAAAAAAAAUUCCGUUGUAACCUCUUGUAAAUCAUGUAUUACAAGUUAUAUGAAGUUAUAUGAAGUUAUAUGAAGAUGUAGAAGACUGUCACCGAGUGAGGUAGACACUAAAUGCCUUUUGCUUUAGAGAUGUGUGCUGACAUAUUUAGGGGCGAUAUAAUAUAUCUGGAAUUUGCUUCAGAAUAAUGGAAAUGAAACAAGAUUGGCCAUGAUUAAUGACUGUCGAAGAUGCGGUAGUUCUCAUGACUAUUUUCAGUACUUUUGUACAUGUUAGAAAUUUUCCAUAAUAAAGCAAGAAAAAAAAACACCUUCUUGAUGUUUGUUUGAUCACCUCUGGAAAUUCCAACAAGUAUUUACUCAGUAACAGCUGUAAUAUGCACAGUGCUGUUUCCUGCUGUGUAGAGUUUACCAAGCACUUUACUGCCUUUUGAUUUUUCCCUUCUCUGCCUUCCUUUCUUGUGUGUCAUGUCCUGUACCACCCCUUCCUUUUGCCCAUUUUCUUUGCUGAACUUAUGAAAGAUUUCUGGAACUUUCACAGCAGUAUAGGGAUUUAAAAAUUUUAUUCUUCAUUAAUUUAAAAACUCUGAAGUAUUCCAUUGCAACCACAUAUGAAUCAUAUUUUACGAAGUAUGAGAUUCAAGUUACAAGAAGGCUCCCAGCCAGUGAGCUACAAAUAGACACCAAAUGCCUCCAUUCCCAUUUCUUUGCUUAUCCCUUAUAUUAGUCUGCUUCUCCUAAAUUGGUUUCACUAUUUACAUUUAAAAGGGUAAAAUAUUCUGGGUCUCCAUGCCGAUUUAAAUUAUUGUAUUAUAAGGGUAGCUGACUGGCUCAGUCAUAGGAGCAUGUGACUCUUGAUCUCAGGAACAUGAGUUCAAGCCCCAUGUUGGGUGUAGAGAUUACUAGAAAAUAAAUUUUUAAAAAUCAAAAAAAUUGUUUAAAAAUAAAUAAUUAUUGUAUUAUAAAUUCACCUAAAUAUAUAUACACCCAACACUAUUAUACACAUAUCACUGUGUCUUAUACAACUAAAACUAAAGUAUGU